Molecule: ribosomal RNA, 320 nt
Filed under: uncultured eukaryote
Lineage: Eukaryota
Description: partial 18S ribosomal RNA
Rfam family: Eukaryotic small subunit ribosomal RNA
Source: RNAcentral
CCCCUAGAUGUUCUGGGCCGCACGCGCGCUACACUGAACAGUUCAACAAGUCUUAACCUUGGCCGAUAGGUCUGGGUAAUCUUUGAACGCUGUUCGUGAUUGGGAUAGACCUUUGCAAUUAUGGGUCUUCAACGAGGAAGUCCUAGUAAACGCAAGUCAUCAGCUUGCAUUGAUUACGUCCCUGCCCUUUGUACACACCGCCCGUCGCACCUACCGAUUGAAUGGUCCGGUGAAAUCUCGGGACGGCGGCUUGGUCGCUUGCGUCCGACUGCUGAAACUUGAUUAAACCAUAUCAUUUAGAGGAAGGUGAAGUCGUAACA